GGAGUAUUCCUAAUACUGAGCAUAAGAGGAGGCUAGCUUUGGAGUUAGGAAGAGACCCUACUAUGUUUGAACUAUUCAAGAGGACGCAUUUAAAUGAUAAAACCGGAAAAUUUGCGGAUCGGCGAGCAGAAUUAGCUCAUGAUGAGUUUACAAGGAGAAAGGCAGAAUUAAGUUCUGA
Neltuma alba is the source of this 178-nucleotide long non-coding RNA. RefSeq lists it as uncharacterized. Lineage: Eukaryota; Viridiplantae; Streptophyta; Magnoliopsida; Fabales; Fabaceae. The transcript has 3 exons. The record is from RefSeq and is a predicted model, not a curated record.